AUGAAGGAAGGAAGAAAGGAACGAUCUCCUUCUCUUAGAAGGCUUUUCUGCCCUCUGCCUCUCCUCAUUUAUCCAAGAUACUUCAACAACAGAGGAAUGAUAACUCUAACAGGACUGAUGAAGAGGUAUUUUGUUCCCAAGAAAUGGUCCAUGGAUUGUCUAACUUGGGAAUAUCAGUAAACAAUGGCAGAGAGGUGCUAAAUGCAUAAACCUCGAACUCCUGACCUCAAAUGAUCCACCCACCUUGGCCUCCCAAAGUGCUGGGAUUACAGGCAUGAGCCACCGCGACCGGCUUCACGUUGUAUUUUCACUAGGUGUGCCAUGUCCGUCUUCCCUUCUAAACUUGGAGCUCCUCAGGGACAAUUAGCAAGACUAGUUUUCUCCAUGUCAUCUAUGCCUAACAUAAAAUCUAUCAUGUAAUAGGCACUCAGUCAUUGCCUUAACUGUCUUCUUUAUUUUUCUGAUUUCAACUCUGCCUGCUGUGAUAAGGUAAGUGUUAAUUGUCCCUAUUUAAAAGUGAGAAAAGUGAAACUUGAAGGUUUUAGUAUCUUGUUCAAGAAUACACAGCUUCUAAGACAGAAAGCCCGCAAAUAGUCCUAGGAUGGCCAAAUUCCCAUCCUAUGGUAAAGCACAGUCCUAGAGCAAUCUUCAUCAAUUCUUGUGUUCAACAAACACUUAUUAAGAUAUGCCUUAUAGAAUUUUGAGCUUGGGGAGCUUAUAAGAAAAGAAACCCAUAAUAUCCCUUUCCUCCUGAUCAGUUACUACAUCCACGUUAACUUACACCUCCCUCAUUCAUUAAACUCCCUAGGCACAGCUAUUCACUGACAGAGAAAGAUUGAUAAGAUACAUCCAAAAAAUAAAAAAGGCUUCAAUUGGCUGUCAGAACUUUAAUUAAAACACUUAUAGAUCAACUUCACUCCAGCAAAUUGUCUGUGCCACUAUUACUAUAGUAAGAUGAAUGUUCACUGGGAAAACAGACAGAGCACUCUGCCCUGGACUAAUGUGUAAUUUCAUAGCCAUUGAUUUUUCACUUUAAAAAUUCUUCCCUGACUAUUGGGAAUUGGAACUUGUUCUGGGUGACCUGGAAGCAAUGUUACAUUUUUUUCUUUUAUGAAUAUGGAAGACCAUUUCCUAAGCCCAUUCAUAUUUUAUCUUCAUUGCCCUGACUCAAAACUAAACUGAAGUUGUAUGAGAUUGUUGAAGGCCUCAGAUGGAAGUUUCUGAGGACAAACAAUGGAAAGAGGAAUUUGAGAAGCUAAAGGGAAAUGGACAAGGAAAAGGAAAGGCCAGAGGAAGAAAAUGAAUAAGAAAUGGGCAAGAUAGGCUGGGCGCGGUGGCACACACCUGUAAUCCCAGCACUUUGGGAGGUCAAGGCAGGCAGAUCACAAGAUCAGGAGUUUAAGACCAGCCUGGCCAAUAUGGUGAAACCCCAUCUCUACUAAAAACACAAAAAUUAGCUGGGCAUGGUGGCAUGCCCCUGUAGUAGUCCCAGCUACUCGGGAGGCUGAAGCAGAAGAAUCGCUUGAACCAGGGAGGCAGAGAUUGCAGUGAGCUGAGAGUGUGCCACUGCAGUCCAGCCUGGGGGACAGAGUGAGACUCUGUCUCAUAAAAAAAAAAAGAAAGAAAGAAAGAAAUGGGCAAGAUAACUGGAAAAGAGAGGUUGAAUAUUUUAAAUAAGGCUGUCAUUAAAGUCUGAAAAAUAGACUUAUUUAAAUGACAAUUUCAAGUAAAAAUUAUUACAAAUUCAUUGGGAAAAAUUAUUUUUAAAAAUAAUUCAUCUAAUUUACUAAGUAAACUUUUAUAGAAUGCCUGCUAU
Macaca mulatta (Rhesus monkey) is the source of this 1816-nucleotide long non-coding RNA. The record is from Ensembl. Lineage: Eukaryota; Metazoa; Chordata; Mammalia; Primates; Cercopithecidae.